GCUGAUGCUGGUGGUGACGCCGAUGGUGCGAGCUGGAAAUGGGGUGCUACGUCAUCGUUGUCAUCAUCAUCAUCAUCAUC
Myotis brandtii (Brandt's bat) is the source of this 80-nucleotide non-coding RNA. The record is from Rfam. NCBI's taxonomy places the organism in Eukaryota, Metazoa, Chordata, Mammalia, Chiroptera, Vespertilionidae.